RNAcentral lists this microRNA precursor (77 nucleotides) under Schistosoma mattheei. RNAcentral's name for it is "mir-3492 microRNA precursor family". It matches the Rfam family "mir-3492 microRNA precursor family". Lineage: Eukaryota; Metazoa; Platyhelminthes; Trematoda; Strigeidida; Schistosomatidae. The record is from Rfam by way of RNAcentral.
AGCUUUUCGUAUCCGUGCUCAUAUUCGUCAGACAUCAACCCAUUAGGGCUGAUCAGACUUCCAAGAUAAGUGAAGUU